UGGGGAAUAUUGGACAAUGGGCGCAAGCCUGAUCCAGCCAUGCCGCGUGAGUGAUGAAGGCCUUAGGGUUGUAAAGCUCUUUUGUCAGGGAAGAUAAUGACGGUACCUGAAGAAUAAGCACCGGCUAACUUCGUGCCAGCAGCCGCGGUAAUACGAAGGGUGCUAGCGUUGUUCGGAAUUACUGGGCGUAAAGCGCGCGUAGGCGGCUAUGUAAGUCAGAGGUGAAAGCCCUGGGCUCAACCCAGGAAUUGCCUUUGAAACUGCAUAGCUUGAGUGUCGGAGGGGAUAGCGGAAUUGCUAAUGUAGAGGUGAAAUUCGUAGAUAUUAGCAGGAACACCGGUGGCGAAGGCGGCUAUCUGGACGACAACUGACGCUGAGGCGCGAAAGCGUGGGGAUCAAACAGGAUUAGAUACCCCCGUAGUCC
RNAcentral lists this ribosomal RNA (424 nucleotides) under uncultured bacterium. RNAcentral's name for it is "bacterial SSU rRNA". It matches the Rfam family "Bacterial small subunit ribosomal RNA", at positions 355 to 796 of the family's 1533-position model. The record is from RNAcentral.